GAUGAACGCUGGCGGCGUGCCUAAUACAUGCAAGUCGAGCGAACGGACGAGAAGCUUGUUUCUCUGAUGUUAGCGGCGGACGGGUGAGUAACACGUGGAUAACCUACCUAUAAGACUGGGACAACUUCGGGAAACCGGAGCUAAUACCGGAUAAUAUCUUGAACCGCAUGGUUCAAAAGUGAAAGACGGUCUUGCUGUACUUUAUAGAUGGAUCCGCGCUGCAUUAGCUAGUUGGUAAGGUAACGGCUUACCAAGGCAACGAUGCAUAGCCGACCUGAGAGGGUGAUCGGCCACACUGGAACUGAGACACGGUCCAAACUCCUACGGGAGGCAGCGGUAGGGAAUCUUCCGCAAUGGGCGAAGGCCUGACGGGGCAACGCCGCGUGAGUGAGGAAGGUCUUCGGAUCGUAAAACUCUGUUAUUAGGGAAGAACAUAUGUGUAGGUAACUGUGCACAACUUGACGGUACCUAAUCAGAAAGCCACGGCUAACUACGUG
This 497-nucleotide ribosomal RNA is filed under the name uncultured bacterium. Its description in RNAcentral is "partial 16S ribosomal RNA". It matches the Rfam family "Bacterial small subunit ribosomal RNA", at positions 28 to 507 of the family's 1533-position model. The record is from RNAcentral.